Molecule: ribosomal RNA, 253 nt
Filed under: uncultured bacterium
Lineage: Bacteria
Description: partial 16S ribosomal RNA
Rfam family: Bacterial small subunit ribosomal RNA
Source: RNAcentral
UACGGAGGGGGCAAGCGUUGUUAGGAAUCAUUGGGCGUAAAGCGCGUGUAGGCGGCCAGGUAAGUCUGAUGUGAAAGCCCGGGGCUCAACCCCGGAAGUGCAUUGGAUACUGUCUGGCUAGAGGUCGAGAGAGGAAAGUGGAAUUCCCGGUGUAGGGGUGAAAUCCGUAGAUCUCAGGAGGAACAUCAGUGGCGAAGGCGACUUUCUGGCUUGUUACUGACGCUGAGACGCGAAAGCGUGGGGAGCAAACAGG